GGCCAGACUCCUACGGGAGGCAGCAGUGGGGAAUCUUGCGCAAUGGGCGGAAGCCUGACGCAGCGACGCCGCGUGUGGGACGAAGGCCUUCGGGUCGUAAACCGCUUUCAGCAGGGACGAGGCCCUCACGGUGACGGUACCUGCAGAAGAGGCCCCGGCUAACUACGUGCCAGCGGCCGCGGUAAUACGGAGGAUGCGAGCGUUAUCCGGAUUUAUUGGGUUUAAAGGGUGCGUAGGCGGAAUGCCAAGUCAGCGGUAAAAUCGCGGGGCUCAACCUCGCUCCGCCGUUGAAACUGGCGUUCUUGAGUGGGCGAGAAGUAUGCGGAAUGCGUGGUGUAGCGGUGAAAUGCAUAGAUAUCACGCAGAACUCCGAUUGCGAAGGCAGCAUACCGGCGCCCAACUGACGCUGAAGCACGAAAGCGUGGGUAUCGAACAGGAUUAGAUACCCUAGUA
Molecule: ribosomal RNA, 453 nt
Filed under: uncultured bacterium
Lineage: Bacteria
Description: bacterial SSU rRNA
Rfam family: Bacterial small subunit ribosomal RNA
Source: RNAcentral